RNAcentral lists this ribosomal RNA (435 nucleotides) under uncultured bacterium. RNAcentral's name for it is "partial 16S ribosomal RNA". It matches the Rfam family "Bacterial small subunit ribosomal RNA", at positions 29 to 507 of the family's 1533-position model. The record is from RNAcentral.
AGCGAACGCUGGCGGCAGGCUUAACACAUGUAAGUCGAGCGGGCACUUUCGGGUGUCAGCGGCGGACGGGUGAGUAACGCGUGGGAACGUGCCCUCUGGUUCGGAAUAACUCAGGGAAACUUGAGCUAAUACCGGAUACGCCCUUUUGGGGAAAGGCUUGCUGCCGGAGGAUCGGCCCGCGUCUGAUUAGCUAGUUGGUGAGGUAACGGCUCACCAAGGCGACGAUCAGUAGCUGGUCUGAGAGGAUGAUCAGCCACACUGGGACUGAGACACGGCCCAGACUCCUACGGGAGGCAGCAGUGGGGAAUAUUGGACAAUGGGCGCAAGCCUGAUCCAGCCAUGCCGCGUGAGUGAUGAAGGCCUUAGGGUUGUAAAGCUCUUUUAUCCGGGACGAUAAUGACGGUACCGGAGGAAUAAGCCCCGGCUAACUUCGUG